This is a long non-coding RNA of Monodelphis domestica (gray short-tailed opossum), 1522 nucleotides long. The record is from Ensembl. NCBI's taxonomy places the organism in Eukaryota, Metazoa, Chordata, Mammalia, Didelphimorphia, Didelphidae.
CAUGAGGGAAAGAACAAGAGAUGGAGAUGGGGAGGUAGAGAUGAGAAAAGGAAGGAGAAAGCAUGGGGAUGGGGAGGAAAAAUAUAAGGGAUGAGAUGGGGAGGGACAGGACAAUAUGUGGAGAUGGGGAAGAGGAGAGGUAAAGGAGAAGGGAUGAAGGAGAAAAGGAGAAAGGAUACACAUGGGGAGGAGAAGAAGAAGGGAUGGAGAUAGGGAGGGGAAGGAGAAAGAAUAGAGAGGGAAGGAGAAGAGAUGGAGAUGGGGGAGAGGAGAAGUAAAGAGAAGGGAUGAAGGAGAAAAGGAGAAAGGAUAGAUAUGGGGAGGGGAAGAGGAAGGGAUAGAGACGGGGAGAGGGCAUGAAGUUAGGGAGAGAAAGAAGGGAUGAAAAUGGGAAGGUAAGGGACAAGUGAUGCAGAUGGGGAUAAGAAAGGAUGGAGAAGGAGAUGGAGUUGGAGAGAAGUAGGAGACGGGAUGGAGACGGGAAGAAGAGAUGGAGAUGGGGAAAGGAAGGAGAAGGGACGGGAAUAAGAGAUGAAGGGGAAUAGAGGAAGAGGAGAUGGGGUAUCAUAGAUCACCCAGCCUCCUCCUGUUACAGAGACUCAAAGAGGGUGGUGCCUAGCCCAAGGUCAUGCAACUGACCCACAGCAAAGGUGUGACUUGAACCCACUCCCGGGGGCUUAGAGUCCAGGGCUCUUCCUCCAGCCCACGCCGCAGCACCGGGGGAGAGGGGUCUAGUGACCAAAGAGGGAGGGUGGACACCGCGAAGGGUAUCAAAGGCCGAGCCGGCGGCUCCCACCCAAUCAGUCGGGCUCUCACAGAGGACAGAGAGGAGCGCUCACCUUGCGGGUCCUGGCCCCCGCCCCUGCCCCAUUCUCUAGAUCGCACUCACCUGGGGGGCUGCGGCUCCGGCUCCGGCUCUUGCUCCCGACUCCGGCUUUUCCUUCCCGCCCUCUCCCGAGGGUGAGUUCAGAGCCUCCGAAUCCCGCUCACCCAGGCAGGUUCCGCCCGCAGCAUCUCCACCUCGUGGGACUCCCUAGGCCACGCCCUCUCCGGUUUUCCAUUGGCGCUCAGGGUCAUCCCUCACAUUCCCAUUGGUCGCAUAUCCGCCAGUCAUGCAAAUCAGGACGGACCAAUCACCGCAACGAUUGGGUGACACCCUUCGGUCGGGCUUCGGCGGCCUGGGCUCUGAUUGGCCUACAGCGGCCGCGGCCCCUGAUGACGGAACUGGUGGGGGCGGGGUCUCGGCCUGGACCAACUCCGGCCUUCCUAGUCCGCCCACCUUGGACCCGCUCGCCCGGUGGCGGGUGGAAGCGGCAACCUCCCCUUAGGUCUCCAGACCGGUCCAGAAGACAUGCACCUCAGUUGAAGAAACUGAGGCAGACAAAGGUGAAGUGACUUGCUCAGAGUCACACAGCUGGUAAGUGUCUGAGGCUGGAUUUGAACUUGGAUCUUUCAGACUCCACCCACUGCACUUCUUAGCUGCCUUAAUAAAUUUGGCCAUGUCACUCCUAGCUUAGUGAGC